RNAcentral lists this ribosomal RNA (452 nucleotides) under uncultured bacterium. Its description in RNAcentral is "bacterial SSU rRNA". It matches the Rfam family "Bacterial small subunit ribosomal RNA", at positions 340 to 786 of the family's 1533-position model. The record is from RNAcentral.
UACGGAAGGCAGCAGUGGGGAAUAUUGCACAAUGGGCGCAAGCCUGAUGCAGCCAUGCCGCGUGUAUGAAGAAGGCCUUCGGGUUGUAAAGUACUUUCAGCGGGGAGGAAGGCGAUGCGGUUAAUAACCGCGUCGAUUGACGUUACCCGCAGAAGAAGCACCGGCUAACUCCGUGCCAGCAGCCGCGGUAAUACGGAGGGUGCAAGCGUUAAUCGGAAUUACUGGGCGUAAAGCGCACGCAGGCGGUCUGUUAAGUCAGAUGUGAAAUCCCCGGGCUUAACCUGGGAACUGCAUUUUGAAACUGGCAGGCUUGAGUCUUGUAGAGGGGGUAGAAUUCCAGGUGUAGCGGUGAAAUGCGUAGAGAUCUGGAGGAAUACCGGUGGCGAAGGCGGCCCCUGGACAAAGACUGACGCUCAGGUGCGAAAGCGUGGGGAGCAAACAGGAUAGAUACC